RNAcentral lists this ribosomal RNA (1049 nucleotides) under uncultured soil bacterium. RNAcentral describes it as "bacterial SSU rRNA". It matches the Rfam family "Bacterial small subunit ribosomal RNA", at positions 327 to 1409 of the family's 1533-position model. The record is from RNAcentral.
GGGAUCCGAUUCCUACGGGAGGCAGCAGCUAGGAAUCUUGGGAAUGGGCGAAAGCCUGACCCAGCAACGCCGCGUGGGCGAUGAAGGCCUUCGGGUUGUAAAGCCCUUUUGCGGAGGAAGAUGAUGACGGUACCCCGCGAAUAAGCCACGGCUAACUACGUGCCAGCAGCCGCGGUAAUACGUAGGUGGCAAGCGUUGUCCGGAUUUACUGGGCGUAAAGGGCGUGCAGGCGGUCCGUUAAGUUCGAGGUGAAAGCUCCCGGCUCAGCUGGGAGAGGUCCUUGGAUACUGGCGGACUCGAGGGAGGCAGAGGAAAGUGGAAUUCCCGGUGUAGUGGUGAUAUGCGUAGAUAUCGGGAGGAACACCAGUGGCGAAGGCGGCUUUCUGGGCCUUACCUGACGCUGAGACGCGAAAGCGUGGGGAGCGAACCGGAUUAGAUACCCGGGUAGUCCACGCCGUAAACUAUGGACACUAGGUGUGGGGGGUAUCGACYCCCCUCCGUGCCGAAGCCAACGCAAUAAGUGUCCCGCCUGGGGAGUACGGCCGCAAGGCUAAAACUCAAAGGAAUUGACGGGGGCCCGCACAAGCAGCGGAGCGUGCGGUUUAAUUCGUCGCAACGCGAAGAACCUUACCAAGGCUUGACAUGCUAGUGGUACUGAUCCGAAAGGUGAGGGACCCUUCGGGGAGCUAGCACAGGUGCUGCAUGGCUGUCGUCAGCUCGUGCCUUGAGGUGUUGGGUUAAGUCCCGCAACGAGCGCACCCCUGUUGCCAGUUGUAUUCUCUGGCGAGACUGCCCCGUAAAGCGGGGAGGAAGGCGGGGAUGACGUCAAGUCAGCACGGCCCUUACGUCUUGGGCCACUCGCACGCUACAAUGGACGGUACAACAGGUUGCCAAGGAGCGAUCCGGAGCUAAUCCCUAAAGCCGUCCCCAGUUCAGAUUGCAGGCUGAAACCCGCCUGCAUGAAGGCGGAGUUGCUAGUAACCGCCGGUCAGCACACGGCGGUGAAUACGUUCCCGGGCCUUGUACACACCGCCAUCCAUAUGACUAGU